GUACCUUGUGGCAUGCCUGCAAUGGCAAAGCAUGAACAUAGCUGCUCGAAAUCACGAGGAUGGUAGUAUGGGUUUUUGCUUUCUAACCCUGAGAAGGAUGGUUCCCGAACCAAAGCGAUAAGGUUGGGGAGAGCUCAUAGCUGGAUGUAAGGAUUAGUUGUGUAGAGGGUAGUGGCUCUAAGAACUCCCCCUUUAGGUAGAGAGGCUUUGAAAGGAUGGCUUCUCCAUGGGUAGCGGGGGUAAAGGUAGAAGGAAAGAAAAGUAAAAGAUACAAGGAUGACUAGGUACAAAGAAAGAUACAACAACCAUUCCCCAGCAACAGCACCAGAAAGCUUGUAGGUAUAAUUAACGACUACGAAUAAAUCCACAAGCGCACGAAUAUCGUUGUAGCUUUCAUCUUAGAGUAUUUCAAGGGUAUCGAAUCCGAGGGAACGUAUGUGCACUAACUUUUGUUCUAGUCGAUCCAAGGACACACCCAGAUAGGUGGCAAGGGUAGAGAGGAUUCCUAAAGAUAGCACUAUAGGUGAGUUAAAGGUCAAUCUCUC
This 545-nucleotide long non-coding RNA is filed under the name Setaria viridis. RNAcentral's name for it is "long non-coding RNA (SVIR_LNC000266)". Lineage: Eukaryota; Viridiplantae; Streptophyta; Magnoliopsida; Poales; Poaceae. The record is from RNAcentral.